AUUGAACGCUGGCGGCAUGCCUUACACAUGCAAGUCGAACGGUAACGGGCCUUCGGGUGCCGACGAGUGGCGAACGGGUGAGUAAUACAUCGGAACGUGCCCGAUCGUGGGGGAUAACGAGGCGAAAGCUUUGCUAAUACCGCAUACGAUCUACGGAUGAAAGCAGGGGACCGCAAGGCCUUGCGCGGACGGAGCGGCCGAUGGCAGAUUAGGUAGUUGGUGGGAUAAAAGCUUACCAAGCCGACGAUCUGUAGCUGGUCUGGGAGGAUGAUCAGCCACACUGGGACUGAGACACGGCCCAGACUCCUACGGGAGGCAGCAGUGGGGAAUUUUGGACAAUGGGCGCAAGCCUGAUCCAGCCAUGCCGCGUGCAGGAUGAAGGCCUUCGGGUUGUAAACUGCUUUUGUACGGAACGAAAAGCCUUCUUUUAAUACAGGAGGGUCAUGACGGUACCGUAAGAAUAAGCACCGGCUAACUACGUG
Molecule: ribosomal RNA, 482 nt
Filed under: uncultured bacterium
Lineage: Bacteria
Description: partial 16S ribosomal RNA
Rfam family: Bacterial small subunit ribosomal RNA
Source: RNAcentral